CGGAGUGUAGCGCAGCCUGGCAGCGCACAUCGUUCGGGACGAUGGGUCACAGGUUCAAAUCCUGCCACUCCUACCA
RNAcentral lists this transfer RNA (76 nucleotides) under Mesorhizobium sp. Its description in RNAcentral is "tRNA-Pro". It matches the Rfam family "tRNA". Rfam says of the family: Transfer RNA (tRNA) molecules are approximately 80 nucleotides in length. Lineage: Bacteria; Pseudomonadati; Pseudomonadota; Alphaproteobacteria; Hyphomicrobiales; Phyllobacteriaceae. The record is from RNAcentral.